CAUAGGUUAAUGAGGCGAACCGGGGGAACUGAAACAUCUAAGUACCCCGAGGAAAAGAAAUCAACCGAGAUUCCCCCAGUAGCGGCGAGCGAACGGGGAGCAGCCCAGAGCCUGAAUCAGUAUGUGUGUUAGUGGAAGCGUCUGGAAAGGCGCGCGAUACAGGGUGACAGCCCCGUACACAAAAAUGCACAUGCUGUGAGCUCGAUGAGUAGGGCGGGACACGUGGUAUCCUGUCUGAAUAUGGGGGGACCAUCCUCCAAGGCUAAAUACUCCUGACUGACCGAUAGUGAACCAGUACCGUGAGGGAAAGGCGAAAAGAACCCCGGCGAGGGGAGUGAAAAAGAACCUGAAACCGUGUACGUACAAGCAGUGGGAGCACGCUUAGGCGUGUGACUGCGUACCUUUUGUAUAAUGGGUCAGCGACUUAUAUUCUGUAGCAAGGUUAACCGAAUAGGGGAGCCGAAGGGAAACCGAGUCUUAACUGGGCGUUAAGUUGCAGGGUAUAGACCCGAAACCCGGUGAUCUAGCCAUGGGCAGGUUGAAGGUUGGGUAACACUAACUGGAGGACCGAACCGACUAAUGUUGAAAAAUUAGCGGAUGACUUGUGGCUGGGGGUGAAAGGCCAAUCAAACCGGGAGAUAGCUGGUUCUCCCCGAAAGCUAUUUAGGUAGCGCCUCGUGAAUUCAUCUCCGGGGGUAGAGCACUGUUUCGGCAAGGGGGUCAUCCCGACUUACCAACCCGAUGCAAACUGCGAAUACCGGAGAAUGUUAUCACGGGAGACACACGGCGGGUGCUAACGUCCGUCGUGAAGAGGGAAACAACCCAGACCGCCAGCUAAGGUCCCAAAGUCAUGGUUAAGUGGGAAACGAUGUGGGAAGGCCCAGACAGCCAGGAUGUUGGCUUAGAAGCAGCCAUCAUUUAAAGAAAGCGUAAUAGCUCACUGGUCGAGUCGGCCUGCGCGGAAGAUGUAACGGGGCUAAACCAUGCACCGAAGCUGCGGCAGCGACGCUGAUGCGUUGUUGGGUAGGGGAGCGUUCUGUAAGCCUGCGAAGGUGUGCUGUGAGGCAUGCUGGAGGUAUCAGAAGUGCGAAUGCUGACAUAAGUAACGAUAAAGCGGGUGAAAAGCCCGCUCGCCGGAAGACCAAGGGUUCCUGUCCAACGUUAAUCGGGGCAGGGUGAGUCGACCCCUAAGGCGAGGCCGAAAGGCGUAGUCGAUGGGAAACAGGUUAAUAUUCCUGUACUUGGUGUUACUGCGAAGGGGGGACGGAGAAGGCUAUGUUGG
Molecule: ribosomal RNA, 1282 nt
Filed under: Escherichia coli
Lineage: Bacteria; Pseudomonadati; Pseudomonadota; Gammaproteobacteria; Enterobacterales; Enterobacteriaceae
Description: partial 23S ribosomal RNA
Rfam family: Bacterial large subunit ribosomal RNA
Source: RNAcentral